RNAcentral lists this ribosomal RNA (642 nucleotides) under fungal endophyte. RNAcentral describes it as "eukaryotic LSU rRNA". The stretch from base 181 to 334 matches the Rfam family "5.8S ribosomal RNA". Lineage: Eukaryota; Fungi. The record is from RNAcentral.
AUUAAAGAGUUCUAUAACUCCCAAACCCAUGUGAACAUACCUAACGUUGCCUCGGCAGGUCGCACCUACCUUGUAGCACCCUACCCUGUAGGGCCUACCCGGGAGGUGCAGGUAAGCCUGCCGGCGGCCCACCAAACUCUGUUUGAUAUUGAAUUCUGAACCUAUAACUAAAUAAGUUAAAACUUUCAACAACGGAUCUCUUGGUUCUGGCAUCGAUGAAGAACGCAGCGAAAUGCGAUAAGUAAUGUGAAUUGCAGAAUUCAGUGAAUCAUCGAAUCUUUGAACGCAUAUUGCGCCCAUUAGUAUUCUAGUGGGCAGGACCGUUCGAGCGUCAUUUCAACCCUUAAGCCUUCGUUGCUUAGUGUUGGGAGCCUACGGCAACGUAGCUCCUCAAAGUUAGUGGCGGAGUUGGUUCACACUCUAGACGUAGUAAUUUUUUAUCUCGCCUAUUAGUUGGACUAGUCCCCUGCCGUAAAACCCCCAAUUUAUCAAGGUUGACCUCGAAUCGGUUCAGACAAACUCGCUAAAUUGAAGCAUCUUAGUCAGCGAAGGAAAAGAAACCAACAGGGAUUGCCCUAGUAACGGCGAGUGAAGCGGCAACAGCUCAAAUUUGAAAUCUGGCCCUCGGGUCCGAGUUGUAAU